AGAGUUUGAUCCUGGCUCAGAGCGAACGCUGGCGGCGUGCCUAACACAUGCAAGUCGAGCGAACCGUUGGGGAAACUCGGACGGUUAGCGGCGGACGGGUGAGUAACACGUGGGUAACCCACCUGGGGGACCGGGAUAACGGCUCGAAAGGGCCGCUAAUACCGGAUACGCUCCCUGGGGCGCAAGCUCCUGGGAGGAAAGGUCGCGCAAGCAGCCACUCCCAGACGGGCCUGCGGCCCAUUAGCUAGUUGGCGGGGUAACGGCCCACCAAGGCGAUGAUGGGUAGCCGGUCUGAGAGGAUGACCGGCCACACGGGGACUGAGACACGGCCCCGACUCCUACGGGAGGCAGCAGUGGGGAAUCUUCCGCAAUGGGCGAAAGCCUGACGGAGCGACGCCGCGUGGGGGACGAAGGCCUUCGGGUCGUAAACCCCUGUCAGAGGGAAAGAAGGGUACCGGCGUGAACAGCGCCGGUAUUUGACGGUACCCUCAGAGGAAGCCACGGCCAACUCCGUGCCAGCAGCCGCGGUAAUACGGAGGUGGCAAGCGUUGCUCGGAAUCACUGGGCGUAAAGGGCGCGUAGGCGGGGAGGUAAGUCGGG
RNAcentral lists this ribosomal RNA (600 nucleotides) under uncultured soil bacterium. RNAcentral's name for it is "bacterial SSU rRNA". It matches the Rfam family "Bacterial small subunit ribosomal RNA", at positions 8 to 592 of the family's 1533-position model. The record is from RNAcentral.